CCUACGGGAGGCAGCAGUGGGGAAUUUUGGACAAUGGGCGCAAGCCUGAUCCAGCAAUGCCGCGUGAGUGAAGAAGGCCUUCGGGUUGUAAAGCUCUUUUGUCAGGGAAGAAACGGUGGGGGCUAAUAUCUCCUACUAAUGACGGUACCUGAAGAAUAAGCACCGGCUAACUACGUGCCAGCAGCCGCGGUAAUACGUAGGGUGCAAGCGUUAAUCGGAAUUACUGGGCGUAAAGCGUGCGCAGGCGGUUUUGUAAGUCUGUCGUGAAAGCCCCGGGCUCAACCUGGGAAUUGCGAUGGAGACUGCAAGGCUUGAAUCUGGCAGAGGGGGGUAGAAUUCCACGUGUAGCAGUGAAAUGCGUAGAGAUGUGGAGGAACACCGAUGGCGAAGGCAGCCCCCUGGGUCAAGAUUGACGCUCAUGCACGAAAGCGUGGGGAGCAAACAGGAUUAGAUACCCUGGUAGUCCACGCCCUAAACGAUGUCUACUAGUUGUCGGGUUUUAAUUAACUUGGUAACGCAGCUAAUGCGUGAAGUAGACCGCCUGGGGAGUACGGUCGCAAGAUUAAAACUCAAAGGAAUUGACGG
This 585-nucleotide ribosomal RNA is filed under the name uncultured bacterium. RNAcentral's name for it is "bacterial SSU rRNA". It matches the Rfam family "Bacterial small subunit ribosomal RNA", at positions 338 to 916 of the family's 1533-position model. The record is from RNAcentral.